This 397-nucleotide ribosomal RNA is filed under the name uncultured bacterium. RNAcentral's name for it is "partial 16S ribosomal RNA". The stretch from base 1 to 320 matches the Rfam family "Bacterial small subunit ribosomal RNA", at positions 1080 to 1325 of the family's 1533-position model. The record is from RNAcentral.
UUUUUUUAAACCCAGUNAUAGAGUCAGCUAGAUGCUAAGAUUAGGCNCCGGGGGGUAUGCNGCACGACGCGCAACCCCUGUGCUUCUUAGUUAGCCAGCGAGUAAUGUCGGGCACUCAUAGAGAGACUGCCGGUGCACAAACUCGGAGGAAGGUGGGGAUGAUGUCAAGUCAUCAUGGCUCCCUUAUGUCUCAGGGCUACACGCGUGCUACAUUNGGCCGGUACCAAGGGCUGCCACCGCGUGAGAGUGAGCGAAUCCCCAAAAGCCGCCUCCCAGUUCGAUCUGUGAGAUCGCUCGAUCACUGCGCUGUCACAGUAGAGACAUGGCGAGAAUGCUGNCGUCAUGAUNAUUAAUACUGGCUGGCUGGGAGGUAACUACCGACCGUUCCAGACAAGAC